GGGGCAGCGGGGGAGGAAGCUUGCUUUCUCCUGCCGGCGACCGGCGCACGGGUGAGUAACACGUAUGCAACCUGGCCGUCACAGGUGGAUAACCGGAAGAAAUUCCGACUAAUACAGCAUAACACUCCUGAGGGACAUCCUUUGGGAGUCAAAGGAGGCGACUCCGGUGACGGAUGGGCAUGCGGCGCAUUAGGUAGUUGGUAGGGUAACGGCCUACCAAGCCGACGAUGCGUAGGGGUUCUGAGAGGAAGGUCCCCCACAUUGGAACUGAGACACGGUCCAAACUCCUACGGGAGGCAGCAGUGAGGAAUAUUGGUCAAUGGCCGGAAGGCUGAACCAGCCAAGUCGCGUGAGGGAAUAAGGCCCUAUGGGUCGUAAACCUCUUUUGUCAGGGAGCAAAGGCGUCCACGAGUGGACGAAAGGAGAGUACCUGAAGAAAAAGCAUCGGCUAACUCCGUGCCAGCAGCCGCGGUAAUACGGAGGAUGCGAGCGUUAUCCGGAUUUAUUGGGUUUUAAAGGGUGCGUAAGCCGGAGUGUCAAGUCAGCGG
This 548-nucleotide ribosomal RNA is filed under the name uncultured bacterium. Its description in RNAcentral is "bacterial SSU rRNA". It matches the Rfam family "Bacterial small subunit ribosomal RNA", at positions 66 to 594 of the family's 1533-position model. The record is from RNAcentral.